UUUAAGUGUAACCAUAAGUUUUCGCGUUCAAUUUUGAUCAUUCGUUUUAUUUAAAUUUUUUUAUAAUGAGUAUUUUUUUUAUUAUGAGAUGAUAAAACAUAAAUAGUAUUUUAUACGUAAUUUAUGUUUUCAAUUUUUUUAAGAAAAUUAAAUAAGACGGACGAUUAAAGUUAUGCACGGAAAAUCAUGGCUACCUUCGAA
Oryza sativa Indica Group (long-grained rice) is the source of this 201-nucleotide microRNA precursor. It matches the Rfam family "MIR812 microRNA precursor family". The record is from Rfam. Lineage: Eukaryota; Viridiplantae; Streptophyta; Magnoliopsida; Poales; Poaceae.